GCACUGCUGACGGUCCCAAAUAGGACGAAACAGCUGUUCAGUGC
Echinostoma caproni is the source of this 44-nucleotide non-coding RNA. The record is from Rfam. NCBI's taxonomy places the organism in Eukaryota, Metazoa, Platyhelminthes, Trematoda, Plagiorchiida, Echinostomatidae.